GACGAACGCUGGCGGCGUGCUUAACACAUGCAAGUCGAACGGAAAGGCCCUGCUUGCAGGGUACUCGAGUGGCGAACGGGUGAGUAACACGUGGGUGAUCUGCCCUGCACUUCGGGAUAAGCCUGGGAAACUGGGUCUAAUACCGGAUAGGAGCCAUUUUUAGUGGGAUGGUUGGAAAGUUUUUUCGGUGUAGGAUGAGCUCGCGGCCUAUCAGCUUGUUGGUGGGGUAAUGGCCUACCAAGGCGGCGACGGGUAGCCGGCCUGAGAGGGUGGGCGGCCACACUGGGACUGAGAGAAGGCCCAGACUCCUACGGGAGGCAGCAGUGGGGAAUAUUGCACAAUGGGCGCAAGCCUGAUGCAGCGACGCCGCGUGGGGGAUGACGGCCUUCGGGUUGUAAACUCCUUUCGCUAGGGACGAAGCUUUUUGUGACGGUACCUAGAUAAGAAGCACCGGCUAACUACGUG
This 465-nucleotide ribosomal RNA is filed under the name uncultured bacterium. Its description in RNAcentral is "partial 16S ribosomal RNA". It matches the Rfam family "Bacterial small subunit ribosomal RNA", at positions 28 to 507 of the family's 1533-position model. The record is from RNAcentral.